AGUUAGAUCUUAAAUUGUAUAUGUGAUAUGUUGAUUUAGAUCUAACUAGUUUUGUAGUUAAAUUUAUAUUUUUGAUUAAGGUAUUCCUCAUGGCCGUCCGGUCAUAAGAACAAAGUAGGAUUUUAAGACCCUCUCUUUCCAUUCAAUAGGAUGUUCAUAUGACUUGUAGGGGUGCCGCACGUUCAUCCUUAAUCAGAAAUCAAAACUUACUUUUCUGCAAAACCCUAGAUCCUGAAACCCUAGGAUUUAUUUUACAUGCUUUGUUUAUGAAUCCAAACUUAAUUAAUGAAUUAAGCUUAUGAAAUUAAGUUAGGUCUAAAAUUGAG
Molecule: long non-coding RNA, 326 nt
Filed under: Elaeis guineensis (African oil palm)
Lineage: Eukaryota; Viridiplantae; Streptophyta; Magnoliopsida; Arecales; Arecaceae
Description: long non-coding RNA (EGUI_LNC068577)
Source: RNAcentral